Molecule: ribosomal RNA, 156 nt
Filed under: uncultured Eubacteriaceae bacterium
Lineage: Bacteria; Bacillati; Bacillota; Clostridia; Eubacteriales; Eubacteriaceae
Description: partial 16S ribosomal RNA
Source: RNAcentral
CCUACGGGAGGCAGCAGUGGGGAAUCUUCACAAUGGAGGAAAGCCUGAUCAGCACAGCCGCGGAGCAAGAAGGCGUUGGCUGGUAAAGCUCUGUAUCAGGGAGGAAAAAAACUGUUAACCCCCGGACAAGACGUACACAGAAAAGCAAGCUACUCG